This 1362-nucleotide ribosomal RNA is filed under the name uncultured Planctomycetota bacterium. RNAcentral's name for it is "bacterial SSU rRNA". It matches the Rfam family "Bacterial small subunit ribosomal RNA", at positions 46 to 1397 of the family's 1533-position model. The record is from RNAcentral. Lineage: Bacteria; Pseudomonadati; Planctomycetota.
GGAUUAGGCAUGCAAGUCGAGCGAGAAAGCUCCUUCGGGAGUGAGUAGAGCGGCGAAAGGGUGAGUAAUGAAUGGUUAACGUACCUUCGAGUGGGGGAUAGCCUCGGGAAACCGGGAUUAAUACCGCAUAAGACCACAGGCUCUUCGGGGCAAGAGGUCAAAGGCGCUUCGGCGUCGCUUGAAGAGCGGACCAUUUGAUAUCAGCUAGUUGGUGAGGUAACGGCUCACCAAGGCUUCGACGUCUAGCCGGUCUGAGAGGAUGGUCGGCCACACCGGGACUGAGACACUGCCCGGACACCUACGGGUGGCUGCAGUCGAGAAUCAUUGUCAAUGCGCGAAAGCGUGAACGUGCGACGCCGCGUGUGGGAAGAAGGUGUGAUGCAUCGUAAACCACUGUCAGGGGGUAUGAAUAAGCGUGUUAAUACCACGUGAUGACGUCAACCCCAAAGGAAGUCGCAGCUAACUCCGUGCCAGCAGCUGCGGUAAUACGGAGGCGGCAAACGUUACUCGGAAUCACUGGGCUUAAAGGGCGUGUAGGCGGCAUGUUAAGUUGGAGUUGAAAGCUGACGGCUCAACCGUCAAAUUGGCCCCAAUACUAACAUGCUAGAGUCGCGGAGGGGUUGCUGGAACUUGUGGUGUAACGGUGGAAUGUAUAGAUAUCACGAGGAACACCAAUGGCGAAGGCAGGCAACUGGCCGAUGACUGACGCUGAGGCGCGAAAGCUAGGGGAGCAAACAGGAUUAGAUACCCUGGUAGUCCUAGCCGUAAACGAUGUGCACUAGGGAGGGGAGGCUCCAUGUCUUCCCUCCCCAAGCGAAAGCGAUAAGUGCACCGCCUGGGGAGUAUGCUCGCAAGGGUAAAACUCAAAGGAAUUGACGGGGGCUCACACAAGCGGUGGAGCAUGUGGUUUAAUUCGAUGCAACGCGAAGAACCUUACCAAGGCUAGACAUCUAUCCUAACCUGACCGAAAGGACAGGGUGCUUCGGCCGGAUAGUGCAGGUGUUGCAUGGCUGUCGUCAGCUCGUGUCGUGAGAUGUUAGGUUAAGUCCUUCAACGAGCGAAACCCUUACCGAUCAGUUGCCAGCGGGUAAAGCCGGGGACUCUGACGGGACUGCCACGUAAGUCGGAGGAAGGUGGGGACGACGUCAAGUCAUCAUGGCCCUUACGCCUUGGGCUACACACGUGCUACAAUGGGCUGGUACAGAGGGUUGCCAACCCGCAAGGGGGAGCUAAUCCCAGAAAGCCAGCCCCAGUUCGGAUUGGAGUCUGCAACUCGACUCCAUGAAGUCGGAAUCGCUAGUAAUCGCGGGUUCAGCCAUACCGCGGUGAAUAUGUUCCUGAGCCUUGUACACCACCGCCCGU